UUUUUUUUUUUUUUUUUUUUUUUUUUUUGAGACGCCAUUUUGCUCUUGUCGCCCAGGCUGGAGUGCAAUGGCGUGAUCUUGGCUGCAACUCUGCCUCCCGGGUUCAAGCACUUCUCCUGCCUCAGCCUCUCGGGUAGCUGAGAUUACAGGCGUGCACCACCAUGCCCUGCUAAUUUUGUAUUUUUAGUAGAAACAGGGUUUGACCAUGUCGGCCAGGCUGGUCUCGAACUCCUGACCUCAAAUUAUUUGGAAACCGUCAUAUUGAGUGUGCAGGAGGGAGAAUUCUGCCAGUUUGAAAUGCAGUUUGGCCGCUUCUUUACUCUGUGAUAAUAUUGUGUGUGUCGGCGAGGGUUGCCUAGCAAGUUACCACAGACCAGGGUUGGGGGAGGGUCUUAACCAACAGACGCACAUAUCCUCGCAGUUCUGAAGGAUAGAAAUCAGAGACCAAGGCAUGGGCAGAGCCUUCUGAGGCCCUUUGGCUUAUAGAUGGCCGUUCUCCCUGCGUCCUCACAUGGUCGUCCCUCUGUGCAUGUCUGUGCCCUAAUCUCUUCUUUGUAUGAAGACACCAGUCCCAUUGGAUUAGGGUCUACUCAUCUGACCUCAUGUUAACUUAAUUACCUUUUUGAAGGCCCUAUCUCCACAUACAGUUGCAUUCUGACGUACCAGCGGUCAGGACUUCAGUAUAUGAAUUUUGGGGAGACAAUUCAGCUGAUAACAAUUGUAUUAGUCUGUUCUCACACUGCUACAAAGAAAUCCCCAAGACUGGGUAAUUUAUAAAGGAAAGAGGUUUCACUGACUCACAGUUCCACAUGGCAGGGGAGGCCUCAGGAAGCUUACAGUUAUGGCGGAAGGGGAAGCAGUCAUCUUCUUCACAAGGCGACAGGAGAGAGAGGGCAUGCAAAAAAGAGGAAGUGCCACACUUUAAAACAGUCAGCUCUCAUGAGAAUUCACUAUCAUGAGAAGAGCAUGGGGGAAUCGUCCCCACGAUCCAAUCACCUCCCUCCCUCAACACAUGGGAAUUACAGGGCCCUCCCUCAACAUGCGGGGAUUACAAUUAGAGGUGAGGUUUGGGUGGGGACACAGAGACAAACCAUAUCAACAGUGAUAGCAUUAUGUAAUAAUAAUAACAACAACAACUUCCAGAGAUAGCUGUGUUGCAGGCACUGUCCUAAGUUCUUACAUAUAUUAUUUCAUUAAUCUUCUAGGACAACAGUCCUAAAAGAGAGGUCCUAUUUUACAGAUGAGGAGCCCAAAAACGAGCUUAGGGUCACGCACAGCUAGAAUGUGCGAUUUGAACCCAGGCAAGCUCAAGGCUCUUGGUCAAUCCAUGCAAGGAGAGAAAGGAAAAAGAAGAGAGCAGGGAGGAAGAAGGGAAGGAUACCAGGGACCGCAGUACAGAAAGGCUGGGUUUCCUGCUACUACAGUGGGUGGGGCUCAAGCAACCAAACAUAUAUAUUUUUUUUUAAUUCUAACCAUACUCACCAACCCUAAAUUAGUACACUAUUUUUUAUGCGUGUCCUUAUGUCCUAGAAUAUGGAGUCAAACUGGUUUUUGUUGUGGUGGUAGUUUUUGAGACAGAGUCUCACUCACUCUGUCGCCCAGGCUGGAGUGCAAGGGCAUGAUCUCGGCUCACUGCAACCUCCACCUCCCAGGCUCAAGCGAUCCUCCUGCCUCAGCCUUCAGGGUGGCUAGGAUUACAGGCGCACACCAGCAUGCCCAGCUAAGUUUUGUAUUUUUAGUAGAGAUGGGGUUUCACCAUGCUGGCCAGGCUGGUCUCAAACUCCCGACCUCAGAUGAUCCACCCUCCUCGGCCUCCCAAAGUGCUGGGAUUACAGAUGUGAGCCACAAUGUCUGACCUACUGCAAACUGUUUCAUAACUAGCUUUUCACUUAACAAGAUGUCAGCUUACUUCCAUGCCAUUCCUUUGAAACAUACUAUUUAGUGGCUGCAUUGUAUUCAGCUGUAUGGGUGCACCAUUAUUUAGUCAAUCCACAUUCAUUGGACAUUUGUGUUCUUUCCU
Molecule: long non-coding RNA, 2020 nt
Organism: Macaca fascicularis (crab-eating macaque)
Lineage: Eukaryota; Metazoa; Chordata; Mammalia; Primates; Cercopithecidae
Source: Ensembl